CCUACGGGCGGCUGCAGUGGGGAAUAUUGGACAAUGGGCGAAAGCCUGAUCCAGCCAUGCCGCGUGUGUGAAGAAGGCCUUCGGGUUGUAAAGCACUUUCAGUGGGGAAGAAAGCCUUGGGGCUAAUACCCUCGAGGAAGGACAUCACCCACAGAAGAAGCACCGGCUAACUCCGUGCCAGCAGCCGCGGUAAUACGGAGGGUGCGAGCGUUAAUCGGAAUUACUGGGCGUAAAGCGCGCGUAGGCGGUCUGAUAAGCCGGUUGUGAAAGCCCCGGGCUCAACCUGGGAACGGCAUCCGGAACUGUCAGGCUAGAGUGCAGGAGAGGAAGGUAGAAUUCCCGGUGUAGCGGUGAAAUGCGUAGAGAUCGGGAGGAAUACCAGUGGCGAAGGCGGCCUUCUGGACUGACACUGACGCUGAGGUGCGAAAGCGCGGGUAGCAAACAGGAUUAGAUACCCUUGUAGUC
This 465-nucleotide ribosomal RNA is filed under the name Vreelandella stevensii. Its description in RNAcentral is "partial 16S ribosomal RNA". It matches the Rfam family "Bacterial small subunit ribosomal RNA", at positions 338 to 795 of the family's 1533-position model. Lineage: Bacteria; Pseudomonadati; Pseudomonadota; Gammaproteobacteria; Oceanospirillales; Halomonadaceae. The record is from RNAcentral.